CUGCCAGUAGUCAUAUGCUUGUCUCAAAGAUUAAGCCAUGCAUGUCUCAGUACAAGCCAAAUUAAGGUGAAACCGCGAAAGGCUCAUUAAAUCAGUUAUGGUUCCUUAGAUCGUACCCACAAUUACUUGGAUAACUGUGGUAAUUCUAGAGCUAAUACAUGCAAACAGAGCUCCGACCGGAGACGGAAGGAGUGCUUUUAUUAGAUCAAAACCCAAUCGGUGGCGGGUUCGCUCGUCAUCGUACAACUUGGUGACUCUGAAUAACUUUACGCUGAUCGCACGGUCUCGCACCGGCGACGCAUCUUUCAAAUGUCUGCCUUAUCAACUGUCGAUGGUAGGUUCUGCGCCUACCAUGGUUGUAACGGGUAACGGGGAAUCAGGGUUCGAUUCCGGAGAGGGAGCCUGAGAAACGGCUACCACAUCCAAGGAAGGCAGCAGGCGCGCAAAUUACCCACUCCCGGCACGGGGAGGUAGUGACGAAAAAUAACGAUAC
This 493-nucleotide ribosomal RNA is filed under the name Celebia sp. 1 MVD-2017. Its description in RNAcentral is "SSU rRNA". It matches the Rfam family "Eukaryotic small subunit ribosomal RNA", at positions 14 to 486 of the family's 1831-position model. The record is from RNAcentral. Lineage: Eukaryota; Metazoa; Arthropoda; Insecta; Coleoptera; Curculionidae.